AGAGUUUGAUUAUGGCUCAGAUUGAACGCUGGCGGCAGGCCUAACACAUGCAAGUCGAGCGGUAGAGAGGUGCUUGCACCUCUUGAGAGCGGCGGACGGGUGAGUAAUGCCUAGGAAUCUGCCUGGUAGUGGGGGAUAACGCUCGGAAACGGACGCUAAUACCGCAUACGUCCUACGGGAGAAAGCAGGGGACCUUCGGGCCUUGCGCUAUCAGAUGAGCCUAGGUCGGAUUAGCUAGUUGGUGGGGUAAUGGCUCACCAAGGCGACGAUCCGUAACUGGUCUGAGAGGAUGAUCAGUCACACUGGAACUGAGACACGGUCCAGACUCCUACGGGAGGCAGCAGUGGGGAAUAUUGGACAAUGGGCGAAAGCCUGAUCCAGCCAUGCCGCGUGUGAAGAAGGUCUUCGGAUUGUAAAGCACUUUAAGUUGGGAGGAAGGGCAUUAACCUAAUACGUUAGUGUUUUGACGUUACCGACAGAAUAAGCACCGGCUAACUCUGUGCCAGCAGCCGCGGUAAUACAGAGGGUGCAAGCGUUAAUCGGAAUUACUGGGCGUAAAGCGCGCGUAGGUGGUUCGUUAAGUUGGAUGUGAAAUCCCCGGGCUCAACCUGGGAACUGCAUUCAAAACUGUCGAGCUAGAGUAUGGUAGAGGGUGGUGGAAUUUCCUGUGUAGCGGUGAAAUGCGUAGAUAUAGGAAGGAACACCAGUGGCGAAGGCGACCACCUGGACUGAUACUGACACUGAGGUGCGAAAGCGUGGGGAGCAAACAGGAUUAGAUACCCUGGUAGUCCACGCCGUAAACGAUGUCAACUAGCCGUUGGGAGCCUUGAGCUCUUAGUGGCGCAGCUAACGCAUUAAGUUGACCGCCUGGGGAGUACGGCCGCAAGGUUAAAACUCAAAUGAAUUGACGGGGGCCCGCACAAGCGGUGGAGCAUGUGGUUUAAUUCG
RNAcentral lists this ribosomal RNA (948 nucleotides) under uncultured Pseudomonas sp. RNAcentral describes it as "bacterial SSU rRNA". It matches the Rfam family "Bacterial small subunit ribosomal RNA", at positions 8 to 953 of the family's 1533-position model. The record is from RNAcentral. Lineage: Bacteria; Pseudomonadati; Pseudomonadota; Gammaproteobacteria; Pseudomonadales; Pseudomonadaceae.